GGUGUUUAAGGACUGCUGCUGGGAAAGGCUGCAGGGAAAUCACCUGCAUGGAGAGAGUUGGGAAGCUGGCAAACCCAGAGAGGGUGGGAGCUAGUGGUAUAGAAAGAAGCCCAGGGAAACAGUAGCAAGAAGUAGGACUGUACAGGGACUCUGGCAGCUUGUUAUUGGGUCCCUGGGCUGGAACCUCGUGUAGUGGGUGGGCAUAGGUUCCCCUGCCAGGCAGUGGCAAAGGGCACUGGAGAUGCUAUCCAGGCAGCUGGUCUGGAAAGACUGAAUUCUCUGAAAGAGGAGGACUUUAGUGAGCUGGCUGGAGAGCUGAGCCAUGAAGAGAAGACUGCAGAUCCGGGAGUUGGAGGGGCUGCAGAGCGAAAGAGACUGGGGGAAGACAUCACUGGAGGGAGAACGUAAGCUGGCAGAGUGAAUCCCCAGGACAGGCAGCAGGAGGCAGAGGCAGGAAUGAAGCCACUGAGGCCCAGACCCUAAAGCUAACGCCCAUAGCCUUGAGGAGCUGUACCUGAGUGUCUCAGAGGAGCUGGAUUUUGGAGCAGCUAAUUCAAUUCCUAGCUCAGUUUAUUACAGGAUUGGCUACAAGUGUUGUCUUUGGUGUGAGAUCGAAGGAGCAACUCACCUGGGAUAAGUGGC
Long non-coding RNA from Mauremys reevesii (Reeves's turtle), 642 nucleotides. RefSeq lists it as uncharacterized. The transcript is spliced from 3 exons. The record is from RefSeq and is a predicted model, not a curated record. Lineage: Eukaryota; Metazoa; Chordata; Testudines; Geoemydidae.